UACGUAGGGUGCAAGCGUUAAUCGGAAUUACUGGGCGUAAAGCGUGCGCAGGCGGUUUUGUAAGUCUGACGUGAAAGCCCCGGGCUCAACCUGGGAAUUGCGCUGGAGACUGCAAGGCUUGAAUCUGGCAGAGGGGGGUAGAAUUCCACGUGUAGCAGUGAAAUGCGUAGAGAUGUGGAGGAACACCGAUGGCGAAGGCAGCCCCCUGGGUCAAGAUUGACGCUCAUGCACGAAAGCGUGGGGAGCAAACAGG
Molecule: ribosomal RNA, 253 nt
Filed under: uncultured bacterium
Lineage: Bacteria
Description: partial 16S ribosomal RNA
Rfam family: Bacterial small subunit ribosomal RNA
Source: RNAcentral